RNAcentral lists this long non-coding RNA (680 nucleotides) under Trifolium pratense (red clover). RNAcentral's name for it is "long non-coding RNA (TPRA_LNC008799)". Lineage: Eukaryota; Viridiplantae; Streptophyta; Magnoliopsida; Fabales; Fabaceae. The record is from RNAcentral.
AAAGUCAACAAAAUUAUGUAGCCUCGGUCAGGCCGACUCUAAAGUCAACAUAUGAAAAGUCAACAAAUUUUGUAGAGUCGGAUCAAUCCGACGCUAAACAGCAUAAUUAUUUUAAAAAAAAUUAUAAAAAACUACACCUGAUAACCAUUAUUGCAUCUAAUACAACAAUAUAGGAAUCACACAUCAAAUCCACCACAAAAAGUCAUAAUGCAUAGUUAGAGACUUAGAGUAAUAAAUUUUUUAGUAAGAAACUAAAAAUAACAAGGUACUACUAGCACAACAAAAUUGAUGUCAGUUGACUAUGUUCAAACUUGUUCAAUCUUAAAAGUAAGUUGAAGCCAUACUUUAAUACAACGUACACAUAAUCAUCAUGAAUAAAAAGCUUAAUAAAAUUACAGUAUAUGGUAAGCAAGAUUUAGUGUAAUUGAUGUACACCAACUAGCUCUCUAUAAAAACAAAUACCUUGUAACAUAUAUUCUCUGGUUCUUAUAUAUACAUUAUGAAAGUCUUGACUUUUUCAUUGCAAUAAGCUUGAAUCUGAACCUGAACAAUGAAGAGUAUUAGCAAAAUGCCAGAUUUCCUCUUAUGUGUUUAUAACAACUCAUCAGGGAACAAAUCAUUUUCAAGAUUAUUGGACUGCAAUUGAAAAAAUUAGCAUAUCAAUAAUUAAUUUCUCAAAA